GAUGAACGCUGGCGGCGUGCCUAAUACAUGCAAGUCGAGCGAACAGAUAAGGAGCUUGCUCCUUUGACGUUAGCGGCGGACGGGUGAGUAACACGUGGGUAACCUACCUAUAAGACUGGAAUAACUCCGGGAAACCGGGGCUAAUGCCGGAUAACAUUUAGAACCGCAUGGUUCUAAAGUGAAAGAUGGUUUUGCUAUCACUUAUAGAUGGACCCGCGCCGUAUUAGCUAGUUGGUAAGGUAACGGCUUACCAAGGCAACGAUACGUAGCCGACCUGAGAGGGUGAUCGGCCACACUGGAACUGAGACACGGUCCAGACUCCUACGGGAGGCAGCCGUAGGGAAUCUUCCGCAAUGGGCGAAAGCCUGACGGAGCAACGCCGCGUGAGUGAUGAAGGUCUUCGGAUCGUAAAACUCUGUUAUUAGGGAAGAACAAAUGUGUAAGUAACUGUGCACGUCUUGACGGUACCUAAUCAGAAAGCCACGGCUAACUACGUG
Molecule: ribosomal RNA, 497 nt
Filed under: uncultured bacterium
Lineage: Bacteria
Description: partial 16S ribosomal RNA
Rfam family: Bacterial small subunit ribosomal RNA
Source: RNAcentral